GGAGAUAUGGCAGAGUGGUUUAUUGUACCUGACUUGAAAUUAGGAGUACUUAUAGUACCGUAGGUUCAAAUCCUACUAUCUCCU
Molecule: transfer RNA, 84 nt
Filed under: Candidatus Vidania fulgoroideorum
Lineage: Bacteria; Pseudomonadati; Pseudomonadota; Betaproteobacteria
Description: tRNA-Ser
Rfam family: tRNA
About the family: Transfer RNA (tRNA) molecules are approximately 80 nucleotides in length. Their secondary structure includes four short double-helical elements and three loops (D, anti-codon, and T loops).
Source: RNAcentral